GAUGAAGAACGUAGCGAAAUGCGAUAAGUAGUGUGAAUUGCAGAAUUCAGUGAAUCAUCGAAUCUUUGAACGCACAUUGCGCCCCUUGGUAUCCCGAGGGGCAUGCCUGUUCGAGCGUCAUUUCACCACUCAAGCCUGGCUUGGUGUUGGGCGACGUCCUCUUUGGGGACGCGCCUCGAAACGCUCGGCGGCGUGGCACCGGCUUUAAGCGUAGCAGAAUCUUUCGCUUUGGAAGUCGGGGCCCCGUCUGCCGGAAGACCUGCUCGCAAGGUUGACCUCGGAUCAGGCAGGGAUACCCUCUGAACUUAAGCAUAUCAAUAAGCGGAGGA
This 329-nucleotide unclassified non-coding RNA is filed under the name soil metagenome. RNAcentral's name for it is "partial contains 5.8S ribosomal RNA, internal transcribed spacer 2, and large subunit ribosomal RNA". The stretch from base 1 to 120 matches the Rfam family "5.8S ribosomal RNA", at positions 35 to 154 of the family's 154-position model. The record is from RNAcentral.